AAAGGAGCUUGGCUUUUUAGAGACCGGCGCAAGGGGUGACUAACGGGUAUGCAACCUACCUAAUACAGGGGAAUAGCCCGAAAAAAUUCGGAUUAAUGCUCCAUGGUUUAUCGAUAUGGCAUCGUAUUGAUAAUAAAGAUUUAUCGGUAUAAGAUGGGCAUGCGUAUCAUUAGCUAGUUGGUGUGGUAACGGCAUACCAAGGCAACGAUAAUAAGGGGUCCUGAGAGGGAGAUCCCCCACACUGGUACUGAAACACGGACCAGACUCCUACGGGAGGCAGCAGUGAGGAAUAUUGGUCAAUGGAGGCAACUCUAAACCAGCCAUGCCGCGUGCAGGAUGACGGUCCUAUGGAUUGUAAACUGCUUUUGUACAGGAAAAAACCUCUCUACGUGUAGGGACUUGACGGUACUGUAAAAAUAAGGAUCGGCUAACUCCGUGCCAGCAGCCGCGGUAAUACGGAGGAUCCGAGCGUUAUCCGGAAUUAUUGGGUUUAAAGGGUUCGUAGGCGGCUUUGUAAGUCAGUGGUGAAAUUUCUUAGCUUAACUAGGACACUCCCAUUGAUACUGCAUAGAUUGAAUAAUAUGGAAUUAACUACAAAAUGUAGUGUAGCGGGGGAAAUGCUUAAAUAUUACAGGAAAUACAAGUUGCA
RNAcentral lists this ribosomal RNA (649 nucleotides) under Myroides sp. Its description in RNAcentral is "bacterial SSU rRNA". It matches the Rfam family "Bacterial small subunit ribosomal RNA", at positions 71 to 717 of the family's 1533-position model. The record is from RNAcentral. Lineage: Bacteria; Pseudomonadati; Bacteroidota; Flavobacteriia; Flavobacteriales; Flavobacteriaceae.